RNAcentral lists this ribosomal RNA (299 nucleotides) under uncultured bacterium. RNAcentral describes it as "partial 16S ribosomal RNA". It matches the Rfam family "Bacterial small subunit ribosomal RNA", at positions 123 to 406 of the family's 1533-position model. The record is from RNAcentral.
AAUCUACCUUCACGACUGGGAUAACUGGCCGAAAGGCUUGCUAAUACCGGAUAAGCCCACGAAGACUUCGGUUUUUGAGGGAAAAGGCGGCCUCUGUAAACAAGCUGUCACGAGAAGAUGAGUCCGCGGCCCAUCAGCUAGUUGGCGGGGUAACGGCCCACCAAGGCAACGACGGGUAGCUGGUCUGAGAGGAUGAUCAGCCACACUGGAACUGAGACACGGUCCAGACUCCUACGGGAGGCAGCAGUGGGGAAUCUUGCGCAAUGGACGAAAGUCUGACGCAGCAACGCCGCGUGUGU